Molecule: ribosomal RNA, 450 nt
Filed under: Rhipicephalus sanguineus (brown dog tick)
Lineage: Eukaryota; Metazoa; Arthropoda; Arachnida; Ixodida; Ixodidae
Description: partial 16S ribosomal RNA
Source: RNAcentral
AUUUUUUUUUUUUCUUAUUUAUUCCCCUCCUGGCCCCAAUUCAUUUUAAAUUGCUGUGGUAUUUUGACUAUACAAAGGUAUUGAAAUAAGAUUUUAAUUGAAUGCUAAGAGAAUGGAAGUCCAGAAAAAAACUUUUUUUAAAUUAAAAAUUGAAGUUUUUUUAAUUUGUGCAGAAACAAUUAUUUAUAUUAAAGACAAGAAGACCCUAUGAAUUUAUUAAAUUUUUAUUUAAUAUGUAAUUACUAUUAGAAAAAUUUUGGCUGGGGCGGCUAGAAAAUAUUAUGAACUUUUUAAAAAUAAAAUGAUCCAUUAUUAAUGAUUUUAUGUUAAAUACUCUAGGGAUAACAGCGUUAUAUUUUUUGAUAGAUCAUAUUGACAAAAAAGUUUGCGACCUCGAUGUUGGAUUAGGAUACUUUUUUAAUGAAGAUAUAAAAAAAGAAGUUGUCACUA